RNAcentral lists this transfer RNA (70 nucleotides) under Apolemichthys arcuatus (bandit angelfish). Its description in RNAcentral is "tRNA-Met". It matches the Rfam family "tRNA". Rfam says of the family: Transfer RNA (tRNA) molecules are approximately 80 nucleotides in length. Their secondary structure includes four short double-helical elements and three loops (D, anti-codon, and T loops). Further hydrogen bonds mediate the characteristic L-shaped molecular structure. tRNAs have two regions of fundamental functional importance: the anti-codon, which is responsible for specific mRNA codon recognition, and the 3' end, to which the tRNAs corresponding amino acid is attached (by aminoacyl-tRNA synthetases). tRNAs cope with the degeneracy of the genetic code in two manners: having more than one tRNA (with a specific anti-codon) for a particular amino acid; and 'wobble' base-pairing, i.e. permitting non-standard base-pairing at the 3rd anti-codon position. The record is from RNAcentral. Lineage: Eukaryota; Metazoa; Chordata; Actinopteri; Pomacanthidae.
AGUAGAAUCAGCUAAUUGAAGCUUUCGGGCCCAUACCCCGAACAUGUUGGUUAGAAUCCUUCUUCUGCUA